Dipodomys ordii (Ord's kangaroo rat) is the source of this 324-nucleotide unclassified non-coding RNA. Its record names the gene 7SK. It matches the Rfam family "7SK RNA". Rfam says of the family: 7SK was discovered as an abundant small nuclear RNA in the mid-70s but a possible function has only recently been suggested. Two independent studies have found that 7SK RNA binds the CDK9/cyclin T complex (known as elongation factor P-TEFb). Lineage: Eukaryota; Metazoa; Chordata; Mammalia; Rodentia; Heteromyidae. The record is from Ensembl.
AGCUGUGAGGGUGGUCUGGCGGUGACGUGUCCCCUCUUGACCACCAGGUGGAUUCGGUUGACUGGCUUCCUGGGCAGGCGUCCCUUCCUCCCUCACCUCUCCAUGUGCGUCCCUCUGAAGCCACACCUCUGGUUGAAAAGGACGACCAUCCUCCAUAGAGAAGGACUGUUCUCUAGUCAAAGCUACGCGGGGAGCUGAACUGCCCUGCUAAAACCUCCACACACGCUCUCAAGAUAGGGUUUCCCGUUUGUGCUCCAUUGUGCUGGGAUUACAGGCAUGCACUAUCACACCUAGCUACUGCUGGAGAUGAAGUUUCCAGAUAUU